GUAGCGGCAGCACUAGUCACCAGACGAGUGGCGACGAACACUGCUGAAUAAGACCAUAGUGGAACGGAUUUGCUUUAGAAAGUCGACCGAUGGGUUACUGGUCUGGACUGGAGCGGGACCAACGAACGCGUUGGGCGGAACGGUUGCAGGAGGCCGCAGCGGCACUGAGAGCAGCACGCAAGUGAGAGACUUGAGGGAUCCUGUGUGUGUGUGUCUCCCCAGUGCUCAGGAGGGCAGGAGUCUGUGCCCGAAGGCAACUGAGGCAUGGUCGUUCGACUGACAGAUACGUUCAAUGAGGCAUAGGUUUCGUAUGGUUUGCGUUUCCGUGCAGGGACGCUAUUUGGGUGGUAUAUGCUGGACUUGAGCUGGCAGCAGCUACACAGGGAGUGCCUACUGCUUGCGAGGACGCAAGAUUCACAUACGUACCUAAGCGUCGGACAGUUAGAUUGGAGUCAGAGUGCCUACUGUUUGCUGGUAACGCUUCAUGAACUAUAGACGUGCCUUGGUAGAGCACAGUUCAUUUGAAAUCUGCGUGCAACCUACUUGCAAAGCCUCAUAAACUAUCGG
Cyanidioschyzon merolae strain 10D is the source of this 567-nucleotide RNA transcript. RefSeq lists it as hypothetical. The record is from RefSeq and is a predicted model, not a curated record. The transcript has a single exon. Lineage: Eukaryota; Rhodophyta; Bangiophyceae; Cyanidiales; Cyanidiaceae.